GAACGAACGCUGGCGGCAGGCCUAACACAUGCAAGUCGAGCGCACUCUUCGGAGUGAGCGGCGGACGGGUUAGUAACGCGUGGGAAUAUGCCCUUCUCUAAGGAAUAGCCACUGGAAACGGUGAGUAAUACCUUAUACGCCCUUCGGGGGAAAGAUUUAUCGGAGAAGGAUUAGCCCGCGUAAGAUUAGAUAGUUGGUGGGGUAAUGGCCUACCAAGUCUACGAUCUUUAGCUGGUUUUAGAGGAUGAUCAGCAACACUGGGACUGAGACACGGCCCAGACUCCUACGGGAGGCAGCAGUGGGGAAUCUUGGACAAUGGGCGCAAGCCUGAUCCAGCCAUGCCGCGUGAGUGAUGAAGGCCUUAGGGUCGUAAAGCUCUUUCGCCAGAGAUGAUAAUGACAGUAUCUGGUAAAGAAACCCCGGCUAACUCCGUGCCAGCAGCCGCGGUAAUACGGAGGGGGUUAGCGUUGUUCGGAAUUACUGGGCGUAAAGCGCACGUAGGCGGAUCAGAAAGUAAGGGGUGAAAUCCCAGGGCUCAACCCUGGAACUGCCUCUUAAACUCCUGGUCUUGAGUUCGAGAGAGGUGAGUGGAAUUCCGAGUGUAGAGGUGAAAUUCGUAUGAUAUUCGGAGGAACACCANUGGCGAAGGCGGCUCACUGGCUCGAUACUGACGCUGAGGUGCGAAAGUGUGGGGAGCAAACAGGAUUAGAUACCCUGGUAGUCCACACCGUAAACGAUGAAUGCCAGUCGUCGGGUAGCAUGCUAUUCGGUGACACACCUAACGGAUUAAGCAUUCCGCCUGGGGAGUACGGUC
RNAcentral lists this ribosomal RNA (814 nucleotides) under alpha proteobacterium SOGA18. RNAcentral's name for it is "bacterial SSU rRNA". It matches the Rfam family "Bacterial small subunit ribosomal RNA", at positions 27 to 887 of the family's 1533-position model. Lineage: Bacteria; Pseudomonadati; Pseudomonadota; Alphaproteobacteria. The record is from RNAcentral.